AUGGAUCCAGGCCCAGCCAAGCCUGGUUCUGCCUGUCGUCAGACCAUUCCAAGCAAUGGUCCCUCAGAGAAAUGGAAUGGAAAAGCUGACACCUGGAAUCUUGCUCAUUCAUUGUCCCUGGUGAUCCUAGUGUCCUGGUACAAAACUCAGCUUCGUGAGCCUUGACCCUCCAACUGAGACCUUACAGGCUAGUGUUCAGCUGAUAACUGUGGUUCACUGUGCCAAUCCUGGGAAGUAUGUCCAAAGCCGUAUUCUGAAACACCUCAUCCCUGCCUGUGGACUGCCAUCUAACCCACCCCCGCUUAGAAUUUUUAGUGGCUUUGAAAUUAGGUGGACUUGAGUUCGAGAACAGCUGUUGACUCUUACUAAUAAAAUUCAUUUCUGGGCCCUUU
RNAcentral lists this long non-coding RNA (392 nucleotides) under Mustela putorius furo (domestic ferret). RNAcentral describes it as "lncRNA (ENSMPUG00000025761.1)". Lineage: Eukaryota; Metazoa; Chordata; Mammalia; Carnivora; Mustelidae. The record is from RNAcentral.